GCAAGUCGAACGCGAAAGGGACUUCGGUCCUGAGUAAAGUGGCGGCACGGGUGAGUAACGCGUAGAUAACCUGUCUUCAUGUCUGGAAUAAUACGCCAAAGGGGUACUAAUACCGGAUAUCUUGCUUUUCAUAAGUUAUGCAAGCAAAGGUGGCCUCUGCAUAUGCUACUGCAUGAAGAGGGGUCUGCGUACCAUUAGCUAGUAGGUGGGGUAAUGGCCUACCUAGGCGACGAUGGUUAGCGGGUCUGAGAGGAUGAUCCGCCACACUGGCACUGGAACACGGGCCAGACUCCUACGGGAGGCAGCAGUGAGGAAUAUUGCGCAAUGGGGGAAACCCUGACGCAGCGACGCCGCGUGAGUGAGGAAGGCCUUCGGGUCGUAAAGCUCUGUCAAGAGGAAAGAAGUGUACAAUGGCUAAUACCUGUUGUAUUUGACGGUACCUCUAAAGGAAGCACCGGCUAACUCCGUGCCAGCCGCCGC
Molecule: ribosomal RNA, 480 nt
Filed under: uncultured bacterium
Lineage: Bacteria
Description: bacterial SSU rRNA
Rfam family: Bacterial small subunit ribosomal RNA
Source: RNAcentral